CUUGGUCAUUUAGAGGAAGUAAAAGUCGUAACAAGGUUUCCGUAGGUGAACCUGCGGAAGGAUCAUCACUGUGAAUGCAAUGUUCUUGUAACAUGUGCACGGAGAGAGACACGGACAAAUUGUCAAAGAGAGAAUGAAUGGAAAGUAUUAGUGCUGUUGUGAUAACGGAAAAAAUGUUGAUAAACACAACUGCAAACGGUGGAUCACUCGGCUCGCAGGUCGAUGAAGAACGCAGCUAGCUGCGUUAAGCGGUGUGAAUUGCAGGACACGCCGAGCACUUGAUUUUCGAACGCAUAUUGCAGCCUCGGGUUUUUCCCGGGGUUUCGUUUGUCUGAGGGUCGGUAAUGAAACAAACAUCGUAAAAGUCUGUUCGGUGACUGUGGGAAUCGGUUUCGUCGGACAAUUGUUACACUUGUCUGUGUGAAAACUGCCGUCAAGUUUCGAGCAUCUAUGCAGCUUGAACACUACACGUUUGGCUGUGCUCGUAAGCUUCGACGACUGUUUGGUUUUGCUUGCAUGCCAGACGCUCACGGACUCGGUGUUGUUGUGAGACAAGCGUUGACACGCAUGUGUGAACAUAUAUGUCGACCUCAGAUCAAGCGAGAUUACCCGCUGAAUUUAAGCAUAUAACUAAGCGGUGGAAAAGAAACCAAAAGGGAUUUCGAUAGUAACGGCGAGCGAAAUCGAAACAGCUCAGCGCCAAGUCCUAUCGUCAUAAGGCGUAUAGGAGAUGCGGCGUGAAUGUAACAAUGCAUCGCAUUGUGCCUUUGUAACGCAAGUUCUUCUGACAAGGACUUUUUCCAUAGCGGGUGCUAGGCCCAUAGCUGUUGCAAGGCUACUAUGCGCAUAUUGUUGCAUGCUAGAGUCAGGUUGCUUGAAAGUGCAGCCCAAAGUAGGUGGUAAACUCCACCUAAAGCUAAAUAUUACUGCGAGACCGAUAGCAAACAAGUACCGUGAGGGAAAGUUGCAAAGAACUUUGAAGAGAGAGUUCAAUAGGACGUGAAACCGUUUGUAGGUAAACGGGUGGAACCACGAAGUUUGCCGGAAGGAGGAUUCAACUGUUCCGUGAGUGGCAGCCGGUGAUGUUCUAUUCAGGUUUUCGUUAGAAAGCAGGCGUCAUUGGCAUUCAAUGUUGCUCUCGGGCGGUGCAUUUCUUCACUUCCGUGCUAAAGCCAUGACUAGUUGGAAAGCUAAAGCGUCCGUAUGCGAGGGUUGCCGGCAGGUAACUAGAUGCGUACUUCGCGUGCGUAUGCUAGAGUUAUAGCCGGUAGCUUGGCUGUGUUGGUGCUUAAGUUAACCGACUAGGGAAAGUUCUCCGUUUGUGCGGAGUAUGCAAGUAGAGCCGGCAGACAGUUUCGUUGUCGAGACAAGCGUUGAUUUUGUAGGCAUUUUUGUGUUUGCACGAAAAAACUGCGUUAUCAAUCUGUCUAUGCUGGCGGCGAAAGUUCUGUUUGUCGGUGAACAAUCGAUGGCCAGUAGGUCGGUAUCCACCUGACCCGUCUUGAAACACGGACC
This 1515-nucleotide ribosomal RNA is filed under the name uncultured fungus. RNAcentral describes it as "eukaryotic LSU rRNA". The stretch from base 586 to 1515 matches the Rfam family "Eukaryotic large subunit ribosomal RNA", at positions 1 to 667 of the family's 3401-position model. The record is from RNAcentral. Lineage: Eukaryota; Fungi.